ACGCGCGGAACCUUACCAGGUCUUGACAUCCUCUGACACUCCUAGAGAUAGGACGUUCCCCUUCGGGGGACAGAGUGACAGGUGGUGCAUGGUUGUCGUCAGCUCGUGUCGUGAGAUGUUGGGUUAAGUCCCGCAACGAGCGCAACCCUUGAUCUUAGUUGCCAGCAUUGAGUUGGGCACUCUAAGGUGACUGCCGGUGACAAACCGGAGGAAGGUGGGGAUGACGUCAAAUCAUCAUGCCCCUUAUGACCUGGGCUACACACGUGCUACAAUGGAUGGUACAAAGGGCAGCGAAGCCGCGAGGUGAAGCGAAUCCCAUAAAACCAUUCUCAGUUCGGAUUGUAGGCUGCAACUCGCCUACAUGAAGCCGGAAUCGCUAGUAAUCGCGGAUCAGCAUGCCGCGGUGAAUACGUUCCCGGGCCUUGCACACACCGCCCGU
Molecule: ribosomal RNA, 439 nt
Filed under: uncultured bacterium
Lineage: Bacteria
Description: bacterial SSU rRNA
Rfam family: Bacterial small subunit ribosomal RNA
Source: RNAcentral